AGAAAAGUGUGAGUCUUUGUCUCGAGAGUCUUCGGCGAGGAGGCUGAGGGAGGAGACUACGCCACAGUUGGAGAGGCUUCUAGUUGUAAACCCAAGAAACCCAGCGUCAGUGAUACUUGGCGCUGUUUUGCGGACAGCUAGCAAAACUAUUAACUGGUCGACUAAAUAUACUUUCUCUGGACUACAAUCACAGCAAUCCACAGACUGUAGUUUCCCUUUGUGAGCUGUGCUUUUGAACCGUCUGUACUAGUGUUUUUGCAGCAUCCUGAAGGAACUGGUGAACUGGACUCUUGAUUUUGGGUCAGAUUGAAGCAGUGGAGAGUGAAAAAUGAACCGGUGUUUAGCCGAUUUAAGCGCUGAGCCUGAUUAAGAAGAUUUUGUCGUCGAGGCCGAGGGCACCUCCGCAUGCGUGACUUCAUUUAUUUGAUAUGCAGCUGCACAGCAGCCCGUGAGCUUCAAACAGCCUCUGACAACCAAGUCCAGCUCCUGCCCUUCACAUGUGGCUUAGCUACUAAGCCCGAUGGAGCCAUUUCUACUGACAAGAAAAGGGGAAAAGGCGGGUUACCAGCACCUUAAAACCAAUUGCUUCGGACCGAUCGGGCUCACCUUCCAUGGCUGCAGCUCAUCUAGGUGAAGGAAAACUCUGAUCUCAAACCUCUGCCUCCUUGCGGCUAUACCCACUCAUGGGGAAGGCUUCAGGAGUCAAAAACGAGGAAAAAUUCAGAGCUGGUGUCCCUAAGGCAGUCCUACAUUGAAUUCAACGCUGACCGGCAACGACUGCGAUGCUGCUGGUGCCAAACUGUAUCAGUCUCUGCCGUUCAUUGGAUGCAUCAGCUGCAUGGGUAACAGCCUGCACUCCAUAUUGUACUGCCCUGGCUUGCUCACCAUGUAGAGAAUUGGGCACAACAUGGUAGACAGAGACUAACGGAGGGCCUCAGAUCAAAUGGCUGAUGUACUAAUAAGUUGGGAGGUUUGUGUACGUAAAGAGUCCGCUUCACAGUAUUAAUUGUGGGUACCUGGCAACUGUGUCUCCAAGAAACUUUAAGACCGUGUAAAAAGGUUAA
Molecule: long non-coding RNA, 1064 nt
Organism: Mobula hypostoma (lesser devil ray)
Lineage: Eukaryota; Metazoa; Chordata; Chondrichthyes; Myliobatiformes; Myliobatidae
Exons: 3
Source: RefSeq, a predicted model, not a curated record